Molecule: unclassified non-coding RNA, 338 nt
Filed under: soil metagenome
Description: partial contains 5.8S ribosomal RNA, internal transcribed spacer 2, and large subunit ribosomal RNA
Rfam family: 5.8S ribosomal RNA (bases 1-120)
Source: RNAcentral
GAUGAAGAACGUAGCGAAAUGCGAUAAGUAAUGUGAAUUGCAGAAUCCAGUGAAUCAUCGAAUCUUUGAACGCACAUUGCGCCCGGUAGUAUUCUGCCGGGCAUGCCUGUUCGAGCGUCAUUUCAACCAUCAAGCCCCAGCGCUUGUGUUGGGGGCCUGCGGCUGCCGCAGCCCCCUAAAAGCAGUGGCGGGCUCGCUAUCACACCGAGUGCAGUAGUUCAUCUUCUCUCCGGUCUUGUGAGGCGGGUUCCGGCCGUGAAACACCCCACUACAUUCAAGGUUGACCUCGGAUCAGGUAGGAAUACCCGCUGAACUUAAGCAUAUCAAUAAGCGGAGGA